AAGGGGAGCAAUCCUCUGAGUAAAGCGGCGCACGGGUGAGUAACACGUGGGUAAUCUACCCUGAAGUGGGGAAUAACACCGGGAAACCGGUGCUAAUACCGCAUACGAUCACGGUGUCUGCGGACACAGGGAUGAAAGGAGCAAUUCGCUUCAGGAGGAGCCCGCGGCUGAUUAGCUAGUUGGUGAGGUAAUGGCUCACCAAGGCUACGAUCAGUAUCCGGUCUGAGAGGACGGUCGGACACACUGGAACUGAAACACGGUCCAGACUCCUACGGGAGGCAGCAGUGGGGAAUUUUGCGCAAUGGGGGAAACCCUGACGCAGCAACGCCGCGUGGAGGAUGAAGUCCCUUGGG
This 353-nucleotide ribosomal RNA is filed under the name uncultured bacterium. Its description in RNAcentral is "bacterial SSU rRNA". It matches the Rfam family "Bacterial small subunit ribosomal RNA", at positions 72 to 422 of the family's 1533-position model. The record is from RNAcentral.